RNAcentral lists this ribosomal RNA (330 nucleotides) under uncultured bacterium. Its description in RNAcentral is "bacterial SSU rRNA". It matches the Rfam family "Bacterial small subunit ribosomal RNA", at positions 568 to 898 of the family's 1533-position model. The record is from RNAcentral.
UGCGCAGGCGGAAAGGUAAGUUAGAGGUGAAAUCUUGCGGCUUAACCGCAAAACUGCCUCUGAUACUGCUUUUCUUGAGAACGGAAGAGAAUGAUGGAAUUUCUGGUGUAGCGGUGAAAUGCGUAGAUAUCAGAAAGAACACCAGUGGCGAAGGCGGUCAUUUGGUCCGCUUCUGACGCUCAUGCACGAAAGCGUGGGGAUCAAACAGGAUUAGAUACCCUGGUAGUCCACGCCCUAAACGAUGAUUACUUGAUGUUGGCUUCGGUAGAAGUCAGUAUCGCAGAUAACUCGGUAAGUAAUCCACCUGGGAAGUACGCUCGCAAGGGUGAA